CGUAGCUCAGCUGGAUAGAGCACCGGCCUUCUAAGCCGGGUGUCGGGGGUUCGAAUCCCUUCGG
This 64-nucleotide transfer RNA is filed under the name pig gut metagenome. It matches the Rfam family "tRNA", at positions 6 to 65 of the family's 71-position model. Rfam says of the family: Transfer RNA (tRNA) molecules are approximately 80 nucleotides in length. Their secondary structure includes four short double-helical elements and three loops (D, anti-codon, and T loops). Further hydrogen bonds mediate the characteristic L-shaped molecular structure. tRNAs have two regions of fundamental functional importance: the anti-codon, which is responsible for specific mRNA codon recognition, and the 3' end, to which the tRNAs corresponding amino acid is attached (by aminoacyl-tRNA synthetases). tRNAs cope with the degeneracy of the genetic code in two manners: having more than one tRNA (with a specific anti-codon) for a particular amino acid; and 'wobble' base-pairing, i.e. permitting non-standard base-pairing at the 3rd anti-codon position. The record is from RNAcentral.